CCUACGGGGGGCAGCAGUGGGGGAUAUUGCACAAUGGGGGGAACCCUGAUGCAGCGACGCCGCGUGGGUGAAGAAGCGCCUCGGCGCGUAAAGCCCUGUCAGCAGGGAAGAAAAUGACGGUACCUGAAGAAGAAGCCCCGGCUAACUACGUGCCAGCAGCCGCGGUAAUACGUAGGGGGCAAGCGUUAUCCGGAUUUACUGGGUGGAAAGGGGGCGCAGACGGCGAUGCAAGCCAGGAGUGAAAGCCCGGGGCCCAACCCCGGGACUGCUCUUGGAACGGCGUGGCUGGAGUGCAGGAGGGGCAGGCGGAAUUCCUGGUGUAGCGGGGAAAUGCGUAGAUAUCAGGAGGAACACCGGUGGCGAAGGCGGCCUGCUGGACUGCAACUGACGUUGAGGCCCGAAAGCGUGGGGAGCAAACAGGAUUAGAUACCCUUGUAGUC
Molecule: ribosomal RNA, 440 nt
Filed under: uncultured bacterium
Lineage: Bacteria
Description: partial 16S ribosomal RNA
Rfam family: Bacterial small subunit ribosomal RNA
Source: RNAcentral